Molecule: long non-coding RNA, 373 nt
Filed under: Mytilus galloprovincialis (Mediterranean mussel)
Lineage: Eukaryota; Metazoa; Mollusca; Bivalvia; Mytilida; Mytilidae
Source: RNAcentral
GCCUCUGGAUUCAAAUUACUACUAUCUUUCCAUAAAACCUGAAGAAAUUCUGGAAAUGUUUUGCCUGUCUCUUCAUUGACUGUCUGAAAAUUUUUAUUUAAAUGUAAGAAAAUUCUUGCAAAACUAUAAGGGCUAUCCCCUUUAUGGUAAUGCAUAGUAUGAUUUGGGGAGAUGUUUUGCCUUUUAGGAAGAAAAAGAUAAAAUAAAGGCAAGUUAAUACACAGCAGAAAAAUAAAUAAAUCGAUAACAAUGUUAACUGUUCCUUUUUCAACAAUUUCUGCACAUUUUAUGUCCGAACAAAACGUAUUAAAACACUCAAAGUCAUACCCUAGCCAGGAUCCAGUGAUGUUAUUCAUUACAUGUUUCCAUUGCU